Molecule: ribosomal RNA, 553 nt
Filed under: uncultured archaeon
Lineage: Archaea
Description: bacterial SSU rRNA
Rfam family: Archaeal small subunit ribosomal RNA
Source: RNAcentral
CUUCGGGGUGCCCAGGCGCGAAAACUUUGCAAUACACGAAAGUGUGACAGGGUCAUCCCGAGUGCCGACCGCUGAGGUUGGCUUUUACCCAGUCUAGAAAGCUGGGGGAAUAAGGAGAGGGCAAGUCUGGUGUCAGCCGCCGCGGUAAUACCAGCUCUCCGAGUGGUGUGGACGUUUAUUGGGCCUAAAGCAUCCGUAGCUGGCUGAUCAAGUCCCCUGUUAAACCCACCGAUUUAAUCGUUGGCUUGCGGGGGAUACUGCUCGGCUAGGGGACGAGAGAGGCAGACGGUAUUCCCGGGGUAGGGGUGAAAUCCUAUAAUCCCGAGAAGACCACCAGUGGCGAAGGCUGUCUGCUAGAACGCGCCCGACGGUGAGGGAUGAAAGCUGGGGGAGCGAACCGGAUUAGAUACCCGGGUAGUCCCAGCUGUAAACGAUGCAGACUAGGUGUUUGGACGGCCACGUGCCGUUCUAGUGCCGCAGGGAAGCUGUUAAGUCUGCCGCCUGGGGAGUACGAUCGCAAGAUUGAAACUUAAAGGAAUUGGCGGGGGAGCAC